This is a long non-coding RNA of Cavia porcellus (domestic guinea pig), 930 nucleotides long. RefSeq lists it as uncharacterized. The record is from RefSeq and is a predicted model, not a curated record. The transcript is spliced from 4 exons. NCBI's taxonomy places the organism in Eukaryota, Metazoa, Chordata, Mammalia, Rodentia, Caviidae.
UAAAGUUGGGGCUGGCUGCUCACCCAAUCAAGUGGACCAAGGGAGGAGGGCUCUUCCCAGUCCUGUUGCAGAAGUGCUUACUUAGAGUUUGGUGAUGAGAUCCUGGAGCUGAGCUUACAUCUCUGGUUCCUGUGACUUCUUACUGAGGGUUGCAAAAGAUCCUUGGAAAUCCUCAAGCAUCACAAUGGAAGAUAUGGUGUAGCCAACAAAUUAAAGAAGAGGACAAAAAUGGCUCAAGAAAUCUAAGCUGAUCAACACACAAAAGAGAAAGGGAACAUUCCUUAAGUUCAGUGUUUGAGCCAACUACUACAACAAAGAUGUGAUGAAGAAAAUUAUUUGAGAAUUGAAGAGCAGCAAUAUAAAUGUAAUGAAGAUGUAGAGACCUGCAGUGAUUUCCAGUCCUUUCAGAAGCAUGAAAUGAGAAAGACUGGAGAGAGACUCUGUCAAUAUGGGCAAUGUGGGGAGGACAGCUCUGAUCUUAGGGAAUAAACUCACCCUGAGAAGAAAAUUUUUUCAGCAUUCAUGAAUUUAAUGUCACUUGGAUUCAUCAUGGAUCUCAGUUUCCUUCAUCAGAGGGCUAUCAUAUGAUGUGACAACCUGACAAGAAGGUUAAGUGCAAGGAAGGAUGAGAAAUGAAGAGAGACAAGAGGUUCACAAGAUCCUGAUUUUACCGUGGUCAUUAUUCAAAUGUCUGUAAUUAGUAGCACUGUUAGUAAACACAUUCAUAAACAGUUAAGUGUAUUCCAAAAUCAUAAAUAUAUAUUAAAUGUAAUGUGUAUGUUUCACUGUGUGUAAAAUAUUACUCUCUAAUAGAGGAAAAAUACAUUGAGGCAGUUAUUUCUACACACUUGAUUCCGAGGUAGAAUAUUGCUGGUAAAUUCUACAAUGUAAUUCCAAAUUUUACUCCCUUAUCUUACUGUUUUAUCAUUU